GUUGAACAUUGUAGAAACAGAUGCGGAGCAGCUGGAAGACACUCCCGUCAUCCUAGCUAAAAGAGAGAAAAUCAUCAUUAGAUAAAGCACUUAAAAUGUUAUAAUUUUCAUUUUUUUUUUCAUUUUUUCCAUGUAUCGGAACAUCCAACUAAAACUACAUAUUUAUAUGCGUACAGAUUUAUCAAAUAGAAGCGACGCGAAGAAACACAUAGAUCCUACAUAUCAACAAGUCAUUGGCUUUGAGUGAAUGGGCCAAUUCAACAAUAUCUCAUUGAGUACGCGACAAAAAGCACAUCUACAACAUGCUUUCCUCUUUUGUUCCCUUUGAAGAAUAAUUAAUAUCCAUAUCUGAAUCCAAACUCAACCGUUGGGACAAAUAUUUUACAUAAGUGAAAUCUCGAUGACAAAUGACAUCCAACAGUUUUGCUCAAUGGCUUGUUAGAUCGUAAGCUCCCAUUUAUCAGGAGUAUAUCGUAAGCUCCCAUUUAUCAGGAGUAUAUCGGCACUGCCAAUCUAAUGUAUACACGGCGAAUGAUCCACCCAUUCAGUCACCGACCACAUUGGUUCCGCAACAGCUUUCAUUUCAAACCAAGCAACAAAGAAGAUGUCACACCUCAUAGUACGAGAGAUUUAUGGUAUCUAUCGUGCCAAUGUACGUAUUUCUUAUUAUUGAGUUUAUAAAGAUACAUACAAUCAUAGUGAAUGACCAACUUUCUCCAUGUCAUGUUCUCUGUUUCUCCCUAAUAAAUUACACCUAUGCCAUUUUAGCAUGGUGUUGAAAUUUUAUCUAUUUUCAAAGUGAUUAGGAGGCGGCAUCGUAUAGUCAGGGUUUACAUAAAAAUAAUUGUACAUUGCAGGAUUAUUUAUACUGUUUUUAGUCAAGAGAAAAACACACUAGAUGAACAAAAUUGAGUUUGGACCUUUGCUACUGCCUUCUAACAUGAAAUGGAUAUGCAUUUCUCCAAUUUGAUUAGAUUUUAGUAAGACUUAUUGAAUACUUUUGCCCAUGGCCCUAGAGCGCAAUUGAGAAGAACAAGAUGACAGCCACUUCCUUACUAUUUUGCCUUGGCUCCUGACAGCAUGCAAAUAAUGUGCGUAUCUAGUUACAUUAAUGUUUUGCCUUUAUUAAGAGAUCCACUUCUAUUGAGAUGUAAAUAAUCUAUACAUAUUACUCUGUAAGCUAUAACUAUUCUGUACAUAAGUUUUCACAACUUUUCAAAAAUAAUUUCUUGCAAGUAUAUAUGUAUAAAUAUUGGGUUACAUGA
Long non-coding RNA from Capsicum annuum, 1265 nucleotides. RefSeq lists it as uncharacterized. The record is from RefSeq and is a predicted model, not a curated record. Lineage: Eukaryota; Viridiplantae; Streptophyta; Magnoliopsida; Solanales; Solanaceae. The transcript is spliced from 4 exons.